RNAcentral lists this ribosomal RNA (31 nucleotides) under Harpellomyces montanus. Its description in RNAcentral is "partial 28S ribosomal RNA". The record is from RNAcentral. Lineage: Eukaryota; Fungi; Kickxellomycota; Harpellomycetes; Harpellales; Harpellaceae.
AUAUGAUCUCAAAUCAGGUAAGAAUACCCGC